This 85-nucleotide microRNA precursor is filed under the name Zootermopsis nevadensis. RNAcentral's name for it is "microRNA MIR1846". The record is from RNAcentral. Lineage: Eukaryota; Metazoa; Arthropoda; Insecta; Blattodea; Termopsidae.
AUCAGGCGAUGAAUAUGUCAAUAGGGUGGGUGGGGCUAGGUUUAUAGGAGCCCCACCCACCCUAUUGGCAUAUUCAUCGCCCUGA